Molecule: long non-coding RNA, 5187 nt
Organism: Macaca fascicularis (crab-eating macaque)
Lineage: Eukaryota; Metazoa; Chordata; Mammalia; Primates; Cercopithecidae
Source: Ensembl
UGCCCUUUCCCGUCAGUUCAGUAGGGAGUGGGCCAAAAGGGAAAAUCUGAAUGCUAACAUAUAUGUAAAACAUGAUGGGAAACUACCCUCUCCCUUCCACCAAAACAAUGCAUGGAGUUGUGGAUUUUAAAUAACAGUAAUUAUUCAUAUGAGACUCUAUACCAAAAAGGGCACAGAAAUAAUUCAUGUAUUACUAAUACCUACGGAACAAUAGGAAUAUGCACAGAUUAGGGCAAAACUAGCAUUUUGUUUUUUUAAAGGUUAUGCUACACUGCAGUCUGAAGUGGUAUUCUUAAAGUUCAAAUUACACAUUGGGUCCACAGAUAACACACAAAAACUGAUUUGGGAUAAAUGAGCCCUAUGGAUGAUCUCUACAAAAGCAACAUCUGGGCCAACACCUACAUACACUCACCAGAAACUGCAGCAAAUACAAGCAGAGCAGGUAAGCACAAAGGAGAACAGGAAGAUGGCAGUGUAACCUGGCUACACCAUUGGAAACAUUCUGAUGAAUGCCAUCCAUGAACACAAGCACACACUACUACUCACAAAAAUGGUAAUAAAUUCAUAUUCAUACCCAGGCAUUCCCAAUUAGUGAAGAAUUAUAUUUGAAGCCUACUUUAAAACAAUAGGGGCUGACCACGGUGAUUCACGCCUGUAAUCCCAGCACUUUAGAAGGCCAAGACGGGCCGAUGGCUUGAGCACGCAGAUUGCUUGAGCUCAGGAGUUCAAGACCAGCCUGGGCAACAUAGCGAGACCCCUGUCUUUACAAAAAAUACAAAAAUUAGCCAGGUGUGGUGUGGUGUGUGCACUUGCAGUCCUAGCUAUUCAGGAGGCUGAGGUGUGAGUCUUGCUUGAGCCCAGGGGGCAGAGGUUGCAGUGAGCCAAGAUUGCGCUACUGCACCCCAGCCUGGGCAACAGAGACCCCGCCUCAAAAAUACAUAAAAAAAUACAUUAAUUAAUGUAAUCCCCCAUCCAUCUAUUUUCAAUACAGGGCAAACCAAAAAGCAGUUCUGUGCAUUUAACCUAAAUUCUUCUAUAAGAAUAUAUUAUAUGUAGUUCUUUAAAAAUAGAUUUUUGCUCAUUUGCCGUAAUUUUUUUAAUUUGAUGAAUUGAAGUGGUAUUCCUUAACUGCAAUUUCAAGAUGUUUUUCCCUACAGGCCAACAACCCACAAAAUAAAAUGCCACACCUGAAGCAAUCCUCCAAACUUACUAUCCGUCAUUAGCAAAUAGAGCUUUAACCUUUUGGGCAUCACAGGGUCUUUAAGAUGCCCGUGCCUGCUGAGACCUUCUCCCUAGAAAAAUGCAGUAAAUACAUCGUGUUUCAUAGGGCUCAUGGACUUGUUGAACACUAUACACAGGCCACAAGUAGAAUCUAUUGUCUACCUGAGAAUAUACUAUUAUUUCGAAAGUCUCUUAGGAAUUGGCAGCAAGGAGUGUAUGUGCAAUGGGUACAAAUCCACCCAGGGUUUUGUAGUUGUGAUAUUACUACUAUUUUUGGUGGCCUCAACUUUAAUGGAGCAGAAAAACAAUUGAGGUUAGCAAAUAGCAGUGUAAAGGAUGGAUUCAGCUCAUUGGGAAGAAAAAAAAAUUCUGCAUACCCUGAAGAAAGAGAAGCUUCUUUUCAGUUUCCAGAGAACCAGAAGGACCAUCAUUUAACUUCUGAUUAACUUUGAGUAUGAUAAGUAGGAAAUGUCUUUAAAUGGGGUUAAAAUUAAUAGACAUUAGAAACAGAAACUACACUCUUAUUUAAGCUAUCAGUAAUCAUUGAUGGCUAAAUGUUAUUAGUAUUGUUAAUAAGAGGAAAAUUCAGUUAUAAAAAUAGAGCACAAUACUCUAAAAUUUUCAUCUUUGUUUAAAAUACUUGGAGGCAGUGUAGUUAAAUGCAAAAUAUUAUGUCAGUUAUUUUGUACACCUGAAGGACUGUUUAUAAAUGUUUCUCAUGUACAUUAUCACACAAAUAUUAUUCUAGAAUACUUGAGUUCUACAUACUACAAAUCAUGUUAAAGAAUCAUAGCACCUUUAAAAAAUGUUCAUACUGAACUGUUGGAUAGAAUUUCCCUUAAUGUAUAGCAAUAAGCUUCAACAAUUUACAGUGGCUCAGGUUGAAUAUCUAUUUUGAUGCUAUAUAUGAAGAGUCUGAUAUGUUUUCUGACAAAAGCAAAAGCUAAAUAAAUUAUUAUUAAGUCAACACUACUGACUCAUGUAGUUAUUAAGGAAAACUAUAUAUACUUUCAUGAAACCUAAUUAUUACACAGUUUUGCAUUUCAGCUUAAUUCCUAUUUUAUUGUUUUGCCAACAAGACUGCCAACUCCUUAAGCAUUACAGCUAGUCAAGAAUUAAAUCUGCAUUAAAUACAGAAUUAAUUUGUCUUUGGGGUUUAAUUUUUUUUAAUUAAUAGCAAAGUGCUAUGUCAAGAAGAGUCAACGUACCAAAAAAUUAAAACAGAAAAUCAAAAUUCAUUAAAACAAUUUCUGUUUGUUUGCUCAGUAGUAUAUUUUUUACAUUCACUGAACAUUGCCUUGCCUUUCCCAUAAUUAAAAAGUUAAUUAUUGGAAUCAUAUUUUUUGUAGAUCCCAGUUUUCAAACAAUGUGAUUUAAAUGCUUGUUAUUAACAUUAUUACAACACUUUGAGUAACACUGAUACUAACACUAAAGUGAUGCUGUUUUGUACAUAAUUAAAUUUGUUACCAUUCUAAAUAGAACUUUAAAUUUAACUCUGUGGUAAAGACCCUGCUUAAGUAUUGAACCCUCCAGUCUGAAUAUUUUUAUAACCUUUUUUGUUUUAAGAGACAGAGACGCGAACUCCUCGGCUCAAGGGGUCCUUCUGUCUCAGCCUCCUGAGUAGCUAGGACUACAGCUGUGUACCACUGUGCCCAGCUUCAUUAUAACCUGUUAAAGGUAGCAGUUAAGUUCCUUGAGGGUCAAGUCAUUCUCCCUUCCCCCACCUCUUGUCCAAAUAUUCAAGAAAUAUUUACUCAGUGAUUUAGUAAUCUACAUUUAGUUACAAAUAUAUUUAUUACUAAAUAUAGAUUACCAUUAAUAAAUAGUUCCUUGGUUUAGUAUGGUCUCUUAAAGUUUUCAGAAGCUAUUAAAUACUAUAAACUGUGUAUAAUGAGCACAGUUUUUAGACAUCUUUUCAGUGAUCAAAACAGAGGAAAUGAAUAAGAAUGGACAAAUGUAGCAAAUUAAACCCAUAACAGUUUUAAAAAUUCUGGAUUAAACAACCCAAACAACUAAUAAAAUCAACUCCUUGUCAAAAGUACAUCUGGGAAUGCUUCUCUAAAAAAUAUUAUUAUAAUUGCCUAAAAUUUAAUUUUUUAGUUGUCUUAUUAGAAAGUCUUUAAUUGAAAAUUAUCACUUAAAAAUCAAACUGGCUUUAAUGUACAAAGCAUAAUCUCCAAUAUCUACUGAAAAUAAUUUUUUUUUAAAAAAUCCCACAUUUCUGAUUCCUUUUUAAGAGAAAAAAAAAAAAAUUGAAAAAAUCCCCCAAAGCUUAUCAGGCUUUUUCGGGCCAAAUCAUUCAGAAAUCUCUCUAUAAAAGAUUCAGAGUAUAUUCAGGGCAUUAAAAUUACCCUACUCUGAAGUAGAAUAAACUAUUUCCUUAUCUUUUAAAAGCUUAGUUAUCAAUACUACUUAGAAUUACCAUCAGAGUGUCUGUAUUAAGAGUACCCUAAUCUGCAGCAGAAUAAACUAUUUCCUCACCUUUGAAGAGCUUAGUUAUCAGUACCCCUUAGAAUCACCAUAAGAAUGGGAGGGCUUCAGCUAGGAUUUGAUAUUGUAAUUAAAAUUUCAAAUAAGACAAAUUAGUCCACAUAAAAAAGUACAGCAAUAGGUACAGGCAAGAGAAGCCAUGAAGGCAUUCUCGAAUCUCGCCAAAGAAUUUUUCUCUAAAAUCAUCUUUAAGGAAAUACCAAUUUAACUUCAAUAGCCUUGUUUAACGAUUCAAACUAUUUUUUUAAAUCUUAGAAUAACCUAAAAUCACAAAAUUUCUCCACUGAGUUGGCAUACCAAUUCCUCAAUUUAAGUUAUUUCAGCUGUUGUAAUCAUACACCUGAUAUGCUUGAUUUGAAACUGGGUAGUUUUUAAGGUUUAGUUGAAUGAGGGAAUUAUUAAUUUAUCACAAUUUCCAGACUAAUAUUAAAACUGAUGGUAAGAAUGAAAAAUUCAAAUAAAAUAACAGAAACCUCUAAUUACGGUGUGCAGCGUUUGCAGUUACAAAAGCAACACUUUCCAUUUUUCCCAUCAUAAGGACUUUGUCACCAAAUAGUAAACUAUACAAAUUGGAUUGCAGCAAUUUCCACUGUUAUUGGUAAUUUUUUAAUAGGAACACUUUCCAUUAAUGCUUGAAAACUACGAACUACAUUUUAUUUUGUAUCUUGUCAAAUUAGUUGGAGAAUAUCUAUUGUAAAGCUGUCAGCACAUCUCUAACAUUACUUUGCCAGGAUCCACCUGCUCUAUGCUGCCCACUACAGGAAAUGCAAUAUGGUAAUAAGAAAUAUAAUAGAAGGUUACUUUAGUACAAUCUCAUAAAAAAUAUACUCUGACUCUACUUCGAUGCUAAAUGUGGUGUUCUUGCAAGAGAUACAGACUGAUUAGUGGCAAUCAAAUUUAUCAACUCUAAAGGACAUCAGUAAGAACAGACAGGACCAGAAAUUUUAUCUUGGUGAUCCACAUGCCAGGAUUGGCGCGGCAGAGGAUGGAGUGUGGAACUUAGUGAUUGAGGCGCAGCCUGCAGAAAUCUCAACUUCUGCGCUAGAGAUUAAAUACGAGGAUCAAAAUCAACAUAAACUACACCCCUUUUUAAAAAGUCAUGUAAACACAAAUGAUUGCUGCAACUAGAAAACAACAUUUAAAAUAAAUUAUUCUUGUGAUGCAUAUCUGUUUCAACAAACAAACCUUUCCUUAAACCUUUACGUUACUCUUACAAGCAAAUACCGUUAAUAGCUUACUUUUGUCUUACAUUUUUCUAAUCACAGGAAAAUUGAAACGUAAGUAAUCUGAUAAACAUCAAGUUUUACGUUUAUGCUUUUGACCGCAGGGUAUACACUGUUAACAAUUUAAAUUCUAUUCAUCAGAUAUACUUUAGGACUCCAUUUUGAAGAUAGCCUCUUCUACAGAAAAGGAAUUUUAAAAAGUCAAUUCUCCAGUUUCUCAUCACAUCUUUUUUUUUUUUUUUUUUUAAAAAAA